GGGCCCGCACAAGCGGUGGAGUAUGUGGUUUAAUUCGAUGCAACGCGAAGAACCUUACCAGGGUUUGACAUCCUGCGAAUCUCUUGGAAACGAGAGAGUGCCUUCGGGAACGCAGUGACAGGUGGUGCAUGGCUGUCGUCAGCUCGUGUCGUGAGAUGUUGGGUUAAGUCCCGCAACGAGCGCAACCCACGUCUUUAGUUGCCAGCAUUUAGUUGGGCACUCUAGAGAGACUGCCGGUGAUAAGCUGGAGGAAGGUGGGGAUGACGUCAAGUCCUCAUGGCCCUUAUGUGUUGGGCUACACACGUGCUACAAUGGCACUUACAAUGGGAUGCAAAGAGGUGACUCUAAGCUAAUCCCAAAAAUGUGUCUCAGUUCGGAUUGUACUCUGUAACUCGAGUGCAUGAAGCUGGAAUUGCUAGUAAUCGC
Molecule: ribosomal RNA, 426 nt
Filed under: uncultured bacterium
Lineage: Bacteria
Description: bacterial SSU rRNA
Rfam family: Bacterial small subunit ribosomal RNA
Source: RNAcentral